RNAcentral lists this ribosomal RNA (86 nucleotides) under Paenibacillus xylanilyticus. RNAcentral's name for it is "partial 16S ribosomal RNA". It matches the Rfam family "Bacterial small subunit ribosomal RNA", at positions 1 to 85 of the family's 1533-position model. The record is from RNAcentral. Lineage: Bacteria; Bacillati; Bacillota; Bacilli; Caryophanales; Paenibacillaceae.
UUUAUUGGAGAGUUUGAUCCUGGCUCAGGACGAACGCUGGCGGCAUGCCUAAUACAUGCAAGUCGAGCGGACUUGAAGAGAAGCUU